UACAGAGGUCUCAAGCGUUGUUCGGAUUCACUGGGCGUAAAGGGUGCGCAGGCGGCCAAGUGUGUUAGGCGUGAAAGCCCGGGGCUUAACCCCGGAAUUGCACCUAAAACUACAUGGCUAGAGCAUUGGAGAGGGUAGCGGAAUUCACGGUGUAGCAGUGAAAUGCGUAGAUAUCGUGAGGAACACCAGAGGCGAAGGCGGCUACCUGGACAAUUGCUGACGCUCAGGCACGAAAGCGUGGGGAGCAAAAGGG
RNAcentral lists this ribosomal RNA (253 nucleotides) under uncultured bacterium. RNAcentral describes it as "partial 16S ribosomal RNA". It matches the Rfam family "Bacterial small subunit ribosomal RNA", at positions 524 to 776 of the family's 1533-position model. The record is from RNAcentral.